This 301-nucleotide long non-coding RNA is filed under the name Androctonus crassicauda. Lineage: Eukaryota; Metazoa; Arthropoda; Arachnida; Scorpiones; Buthidae. The record is from RNAcentral.
GCCUAUAUAAUAAAUAAUAUAAUUAUGUAUAAUGACUAAAUAACGAUGAUAAAUGGAAACUUGUAUGAUAUUUUUAUAUUAAAUAUGUACAGUAUAGAUUCAGGAAUUGAUAUUUGUUUCGAUAACAAUCGGUAUACUUCGCUAUCUGAUGGAAAGUUUGUGCCAUUUUCUAAUAUGGUAAUACCUCGGAGUUACUUAAUAGGUGAGACCGGGAAGCAUAACAUAAGUCGAAAAUUACAUAAGUCAAGGUACCUACAGACUCCCAAAUCUAAUUUCAAAUGAAUGUGUAUUAGAUUCUUAA